AGCGCGAGCGCACGCUGUGUGUGUGAACACCGUCUGAUCCUGAGCCGGGCUUUUACCCCUCCCCUCCAUCAACUGCCUCUGGGGUAGACGUGAGAUGCAGAGGGACGGAGUCACCGAAAUGACCAGAGUGUUUUUUUGUUUUUUUGUCUAACACGCACGCUCGGGAAUAACCCCGUAGCAACGUUUGAAAAGAGGUUCUUAUCGGUUGUUACCAGAGAACUUCCACCGCUGGCGGUCUUUUUCCUGCUGUUUCAUGUGGAUCACUGACCCGCUGUGUCAGGAAACUGCAACGGGGAAACCACGCCAAUCCCAGGCUCUGGAGAGACGAUUAUAACGGCGUACCUGAUCUCUUCUACACCAUCUUUACCAACCGUGAGGGAGACGGCCUUCUAAAUCCUGACAACGAGAUUCAUCUCUUUACUCUAUACGGCUGCUUUGUUCCCCACGUGCAGAAACCCCCACUUGAACAAUCCUGCUUAAGAAUGAGGGACGGUCCGGAGGGAUGGUUGCUGACCGAUGCCCUGAAUGUGCUCUGGCAUCGAAUCUCGCCGGUGCAGAAGUACAGCUGCGCCCACGGACCCGUACAAGCACAGUGCCAUGAGAGGCAGCUGCUUCACUUGGACACUUUAUCUUGCAUUGAGUCUUUUAAAAAAAACAAUAAACUACUUUCAGAAGAUAAUAUUACCGGCAACAGUAAUCUUCUUCUUCCCAUUCAAUGGUCAGGGAGAACAUGUAGAUUUAAAUGCUUGCUGUCCAGUGCUGCUUAUGAUCGGUCACAAGUUCAACACAAGGGGGGGCCGCUGUGCACAUUACCAGUAGCAAACCUCCUCUCUCCUGCACCAAAACUUCAUCAAGUCAACCUACUUUAAAAUACAGGUACAGUGGGGCAUUUUGCAUUGAAACAGCAGGUAUUGCAUCAGUACAGUUAUUAGUACGGUGCAGCAGGAAACCCUGUGUGCUGUGUAGGAACAAGCUAAAGACAUAUAGUGUUGUAGAGGUAACUGAUGAAAAGGUCUUUCUUGGUUUAUUUGAUGGAUUGUGCAUAUUGCUGCUAGUUAACAUGCCGGGCUGUUGUUUGCUGCGUGUUGUGCAAUGUUGUGAGCUAAUGGGGAAAAACAUGAAUGUAAGCUUUGUUUUUUGGCCUGCUGCUCAGAAAAAAUAACUACAAAACGUUUUCCCUAUUACUUUGUAGCAUUAUCUUAGUUUAGACUUUGUCAUUACUAACAUCCGUUGCAAUGCACUCAUAGACUGACGGACGGAAGAGUGACCGACAUAUUUCCUCGUUGUUUAAAAAGUUCCAAAAGCAUUUCCGACAGCGUGAGUCACCGCUAAGGAACAAAAUCACGCAGUGAAAUGAAGCAGGGCUGGUGUGUGAAGAUGGAAGAGUACUUUCAAGAUCAUUUGGAAUACACACUGAAUUCAUAGAUAAUGCAUGAUUCCAAAAAUACACAGUCACUUGAGUGCAGUACACUUAUGCAACUGUCUCGUUGCAGUACAUUUAAAUGUGAUACUAAAUACUAACACAAGAACAAGAUUAUGCACUAGAUUUUUAUUUACAUCCAAUUACUGCUGUUACACUCUCUUUUUGUUACUCGUUACCGUAAGUAAGGUAACUUCUUCUUAUUUGC
Gasterosteus aculeatus aculeatus (three-spined stickleback) is the source of this 1628-nucleotide long non-coding RNA. RefSeq lists it as uncharacterized. The record is from RefSeq and is a predicted model, not a curated record. NCBI's taxonomy places the organism in Eukaryota, Metazoa, Chordata, Actinopteri, Perciformes, Gasterosteidae.